Molecule: long non-coding RNA, 1626 nt
Organism: Helianthus annuus (common sunflower)
Lineage: Eukaryota; Viridiplantae; Streptophyta; Magnoliopsida; Asterales; Asteraceae
Exons: 3
Source: RefSeq, a predicted model, not a curated record
UAUAAUAAAAGAAACCUUUCUUGGUACACGUGGCGUUCUGUGGUGCAUUCUUCGAUGGGUUUUCCCACCUAUACGGAGUUCUCUAUAAACACGGAUCGAUUAUAUCCUCUUUCUUUGCUUUUCAAAAACCCUAAAUUGAUCUAACUAACCAUCCGCCAUUUCCUUUGAAGCCAACAUCAUAUAAGCAAAAUCAUCUCGAUAAUUCAUCUAGGUUGCUCGCCAUUUUGUUCCGAUCGUAAGAAGAAAAGUUUGUGAGGUUACAGUUACGAUACAAUUUCAAAACUGAGAUCAUGGAUUCAUUCCUAAAUCGGAUCGACAAGUUCCAAAAGUUGAAAUCGGGGUCUCAUUCGAAAUCGCAGGUCACCAGGUAUUGAAAUCGGUGUUUCAUUCGAAGCUGUAGAUCGUUUUGAGUACAUUCGGAUUGUGUGUUUCUUAUUCUGUCCUUGGUUAUAGAAUCAUGACAUGACACCAAAUCGGAUUAUGUGGGGACGGUGCAAAUAGAACAAUAUUAAGUUUCGAGUUCGGGAUCUCAGUAUAUUUGUUAAUUGUACUUAAUUUGAGCCGAUCUUCACAACUAAAUAACACCAGUUAGUUGUGUUAGCUAUUAGUAUUUACCAUGUUCAUAUUUGAAUCCAAUUUAUUGUUUUCCAUGUUCUGUCACAUUGAUGUUCAUAUGGGUUUGUGUAUUUUCUUUGGUUAGUCAAUACAAUCUCAUGGAUUUCUUUAGCAUAAGGUUUGAUGGAAGUACCUUUUAAAAUUGGUUUAUGUUUGCGGAUUUUGUGGAUACAUCGUUCUUUCAGAAUCUAAUAAGAAAUUAUGGGGUAAUCUUUACUUCCAAGCUAUUGAGUUUUGUGGAUAGUGUUAUUUUCACUUUGUUCACUCAAGGUGAGUUUACAUUACACGUGCCUUGCUUUAUUUUAUCUUUCUUUCUUCGAUUUCAUGUAAAUGAUGAUGUGUUCAUUAAUUAGGAUUAUUAUUAUCCUGUUCUCGGUGUCGCUCGAAUUCAGUUCAUAAUAUUGCAAUCCCUAAAUUUGACGAUGGUGUUACUGGAACUGCUACAUGGGUUGAAGUGGAAUCUGCUUUAUAUCCACUUGACACAAUUAAAAAGCUAGGCUUCAAGCAGGUAAACAGUUCCUCGCUGAAAAAAUUAUUCUGAAGGAUUUUUACUUUGGUUAGGCUGGAAAUCUCAGGUGUUUUCCCCGGUCAAUGUUGUAAUCCUUAUAUAUAUGUUUUCAUAUAUUCGAAUGCAGAUCAUGGUUUCAUAGUGAAGAAGAACCUACAUUUGAGUGUUUGCGGUUCGUAUUUAAAAUAUGUUAUAACUUCUGCAAGAUAUUUUUGAAGUUAUCUGCUCAUUGUAUAUACAAAAAAUGCAUAUUACAUCAGAAUUUCAGUAAAAGGAAAGGUUGAUCAGAAGUUGUUGUUGGCCAUGAUACCCAAGAUGAAACUGAUAGUUAUGAAAGAUACAAAUACUUUGUAAAAAGAGAAAUGGAUAUUAUAUACAAGUGAGUUUCAUUUUUAUUUUACUAUAAUAUCCAUUUUCUCUCUCUUUUUUUUUUAAUUUUCAUUUGUAAGAGUGGUCUUGCAUUUUCAUGUAUGAAUACUAAUUUAGUUUAAGAUGUUACUCCA